Long non-coding RNA from Anopheles funestus (African malaria mosquito), 4259 nucleotides. RefSeq lists it as uncharacterized. The record is from RefSeq and is a predicted model, not a curated record. The transcript is spliced from 3 exons. Lineage: Eukaryota; Metazoa; Arthropoda; Insecta; Diptera; Culicidae.
GGCAUGGCCGUCCAAGAAGAAAAUGUAGCCAUUGUUGCCAUCUAUCGACCACAGGUUAAAGAUUGGCGAUCCGUUGGAUACCGACCAAGUUAUAGCCAAAAUUUGGUGCAAAAAUGAGCCUUAGUAAAUUUUCAUUUUUUUGAUUUUUUUUUAUUUUUUUACUAUUUUUCACUCUUUUUUUUAUUUAAAGCAUUACUUGAGUGAAAAGACACACAUUGCAACCAAUUGGCAUUAAAAUAAAUCAAUUUCAUUUUUUUUGCAAAAUUUCCCAAAAAAAACGUAAGGGGUAAGCCUUAUGAAAUUUUCGAGUGGAAAAUUUUUUUGAAAUUUUUUUCUGAUUUUUUAUUAUUUUUUUAAUUUAAAGCAUUAUUUGAGUGAAAAGAAACUUAUUGCAACAAAUUCACAAUAAAAUAUAUCACAUUUAAAAAUUUGCUGAAUUGCAGAAAAAUGAGGAAAAUUUUACAUUUUCUCAAACAGGGUAAGGAACUUGCUUUCUCGAAUAACUUCUGGCACAGACAUCUGAGGGCAUGGCCGUCCAAGAAGAAAAUGUAGCCAUUGGUGCCAUCUAUCGACCACAGGUUAAAGAUUGGCGAUCCGUUGGAUACCGACCGAGUUAUAGGCAAAACUUGGUGCAAAAAUGAGGAAAAUUUUACAUUUUCUCAAACAGGGUAAGGAAAUUGGUUCCUCGAAUAACUUCUGGCACAGACAUCUGAUGGCAUGGCCGUCCAAGAAGAAAAUGUAGCCAUUGGUGCCAUCUAUCGACCACAGGUUAAAGAUUGGCGAUCCGUUGGAUACCGACCAAGUUAUAGCCAAAAUUUGGUGCAAAAAUGAGCCUUAGUAAAUUUUCAUUUUUUUGAUUUUUUUUUAUUUUUUUUACUAUUUUUCACUCUUUUUUUUAUUUAAAGCAUUACUUGAGUGAAAAGACACACAUUGCAACCAAUUGGCAUUAAAAUAAAUCAAUUUCAUUUUUUUUACAAAAUUUCCCAAAAAAAACGUAAGGGGUAAGCCUUAUGAAAUUUUCGAGUGGAAAAUUUUUUUGAAAUUUUUUUCUGAUUUUUUAUUAUUUUUUUAAUUUAAAGCAUUAUUUGAGUGAAAAGAAACUUAUUGCAACAAAUUCACAAUAAAAUAUAUCACAUUUAAAAAUUUGCUGAAUUGCAGAAAAAUGAGGAAAAUUUUACAUUUUCUCAAACAGGGUAAGGAACUUGCUUUCUCGAAUAACUUCUGGCACAGACAUCUGAGGGCAUGGCCGUCCAAGAAGAAAAUGUAGCCAUUGGUGCCAUCUAUCGACCACAGGUUAAAGAUUGGCGAUCCGUUGGAUACCGACCGAGUUAUAGGCAAAACUUGGUGCAAAAAUGAGGAAAAUUUUACAUUUUCUCAAACAGGGUAAGGAAAUUGGUUCCUCGAAUAACUUCCGGCACGGACAUCUGAGGGCAUGGCCGUCUGAGAAGAAAAUGUAGCCAUUGGUGCCAUCUAUCGACCACAAGUUAAAGAUUGGCGAUCCGUUGGAUACCGACCGAGUUAUAGACAAAACUUGGGGCAAAAAUGAGCCUUAGUAAAUUUUCAUUUUUUUAGUUUUUUUGAGUUUUUUAUUAUUUUUCACUCUUUUUUUUAUUUAAAGCAUUACUUGAGUGAAAAGAAACACAUUGCAACCAAUUGGCAUUAAAAAAAAUUAAUUUCAUUUUUUUUUGCAAAAUUUCCCAAAAAAACGUAAGGGGUAAGCCUUAUGAAAUUUUCGAGUUGAAAAUUUUUGAAAUUUUUUUUCUGAUUUUUUAUUAUGUUUUUAGUUUAAAGCAAUAUUUGAGUGAAAAGAAACACAUUGCAACAAAUUUGCAUGAAAAUAUAUCACAUUUAUAAAGUUUGCUAAAUUGCUCAAAAAUGAGGAAAAUUUUACAUUUUCUCAAACAGGGUAAGGAACUUGCUUUCUCGAAUAACUUCUGGCACAGACAUCUGAGGGCAUGGCCGUCCAAGAAGAAAAUGUAGCCAUUGGUGCCAUCUAUCGACCACAGAUUAAAGAUUGGCGAUCCGUUGGAUACCGACCGAGUUAUAGCCAAAACUUGGUGCAAAAAUGAGGAAAAUUUUACAUUUUCUCAAACAGGGUAAGGAACUUGCUUUCUCGAAUAACUUCUGGCACAGACAUCUGAGGGCAUGGCCGUCCAAGAAGAAAAUGUAGCCAUUGGUGCCAUCUAUCGACCACAGAUUAAAGAUUGGCGAUCCGUUUGAUACCGACCGAGUUAUAGCCAAAACUUGGUGCAAAAAUGAGGAAAAUUUUACAUUUUCUCAAACAGGGUAAGGAAAUUGGUUCCUCGAAUAACUUCUGGCACAGACAUCUGAGGGCAUGGCCGUCCAAGAAGAAAAUGUAGCCAUUGGUGCCAUCUAUCGACCACAGGUUAAAGAUUGGCGAUCCGUUGGAUACCGACCGAGUUAUAGGCAAAACUUGGUGCAAAAAUGAGGAAAAUUUUACAUUUUCUCAAACAGGGUAAGGAAAUUGGUUCCUCGAAUAACUUCUGGCACAGACAUCUGAGGGCAUGGCCGUCCAAGAAGAAAAUGUAGCCAUUGGUGCCAUCUAUCGACCACAGGUUAAAGAUUGGCGAUCCGUUGGAUACCGACCGAGUUAUAGGCAAAACUUGGUGCAAAAAUGAGGAAAAUUUUACAUUUUCUCAAACAGGGUAAGGAAAUUGGUUCCUCGAAUAACUUCUGGCACAUACAUCUGAGGGCAUGGCCGUCCAAGAAGAAAAUGUAGCCAUUGGUGCCAUCUAUCGACCACAGAUUAAAGAUUGGCGAUCCGUUUGAUACCGACCGAGUUAUAGCCAAAACUUGGUGCAAAAAUGAGGAAAAUUUUACAUUUUCUCAAACAGGGUAAGGAACUUGCUUUCUCGAAUAACUUCUGGCACAGACAUCUGAGGGCAAGGCCGUCCAAGAAGAAAAUGUAGCCAUUGGUGCCAUCUAUCGACCACAGGUUAAAGAUUGGCGAUCCGUUGGAUACCGACCGAGUUAUAGGCAAAACUUGGUGCAAAAAUGAGGAAAAUUUUACAUUUUCUCAAACAGGGUAAGGAAAUUGGUUUCUCAAAUAACUUCUGGCACAUACAUCUGAGGGCAUGGCCGUCCAAGAAGAAAAUGUAGCCAUUGGUGCCAUCUAUCGACCACAGAUUAAAGAUUGGCGAUCCGUUGGAUACCGACCGAGUUAUAGCCAAAACUUGGUGCAAAAAUGAGGAAAAUUUUACAUUUUCUCAAACAGGGUAAGGAACUUGCUUUCUCGAAUAACUUCUGGCACAGACAUCUGAGGGCAUGGCCGUCCAAGAAGAAAAUGUAGCCAUUGGUGCCAUCUAUCGACCACAGGUUAAAGAUUGGCGAUCCGUUGGAUACCGACCGAGUUAUAGGCAAAACUUGGUGCAAAAAUGAGGAAAAUUUUACAUUUUCUCAAACAGGGUAAGGAAAUUGGUUCCUCGAAUAACUUCUGGCACAGACAUCUGAGGGCAUGGCCGUCCAAGAAGAAAAUGUAGCCAUUGGUGCCAUCUAUCGACCACAGGUUAAAGAUUGGCGAUCCGUUGGAUACCGACCGAGUUAUAGGCAAAACUUGGUGCAAAAAUGAGGAAAAUUUUACAUUUUCUCAAACAGGGUAAGGAAAUUGGUUCCUCGAAUAACUUCUGGCACAGACAUCUGAGGGCAUGGCCGUCCAAGAAGAAAAUGUAGCCAUUGGUGCCAUCUAUCGACCACAAGUUAAAGAUUGGCGAUCCGUUGGAUACCGACCGAGUUAUAGGCAAAACUUGGUGCAAAAAUGAGGAAAAUUUUACAUUUUCUCAAACAGGGUAAGGAAAUUGGUUCCUCGAAUAACUUCUGGCACAGACAUCUGAGGGCAUGGCCGUCCAAGAAGAAAAUGUAGCCAUUGGUGCCAUCUAUCGACCACAGGUUAAAGAUUGGCGAUCCGUUGGAUACCGACCGAGUUGUAGGCAAAACUUGGUGCAAAAAUGAGGAAAAUUUUACAUUUUCUCAAACAGGGUAAGGAACUUGGUUCCUCAAAUAACUUCUGGCACAGACAUCUGAGGGCAAGGCCGUCCAAGAAGAAAAUGUAGCCAUUGGUGCCAUCUAUCGACCACAGGUUAAAGAUUGGCGAUCCGUUGGAUACCGACCGAGUUAUAGGCAAAAUUUGGUGCAAAAAUGAGUCUUAUGAAAUUUUCAAAUUUUUAUAUUUUUUUCAAUUUUUUCUGAUUUUUUACACUUUUUUAUAUUUUAAGCAUUAUUUGAGUGAAAAGAAAGUCAUU